Long non-coding RNA from Megalobrama amblycephala (Wuchang bream), 607 nucleotides. RefSeq lists it as uncharacterized. Lineage: Eukaryota; Metazoa; Chordata; Actinopteri; Cypriniformes; Xenocyprididae. The transcript has 3 exons. The record is from RefSeq and is a predicted model, not a curated record.
CAAAACGCCGUGGCUUCAUUUGUGGUGGCUAUUUUCGCCGGAGAGCAAAACAGAAGAAAUAACUGGCAAUUGUGUAUAAAAUUGCUUCACUGAACUUGUCUGCUCCCUUUGGAAUGGAAUCUCAUGGUGGAAUACCCUAUGAUGUCCACUUCGCAAGGCACUUAUGAAUGGAACACACCUUGUUUGUCAAGACGGUGGCACCUCAGAUAAAUUGCGCUGUUCCAGAGAGCUGGACUGCAGCGCUCAUGUCCUCAUGCCACCGCGACUCAAGAUGAAGAGAUCGCAACCCUGCGUUCAUUAUUCAGAGAUGCUGGAGCGAGCCAGGUAGCAACACCUGAGUGAAACCUGAGGGUCAGGCUCGACACAGAGCUAGACUUUAUUAUUGCUCUGCUGGAGAACUGCAUUAAUGCAUUAGAAUUUCACACAUAAGUAGAUAUGCUGUGGCCCUAAGCAAGUAUUUGCACACUUUAGCAACACAUUCAAUGGAUUUAACUGAAUUAAGAUGAUUUAACUGAAUUAAGAUGAUUUUGCUGUGAUGUAACCAGCUUGAUGAUUUAAUGUACAUUAUAGUGUACACAAGGAAUUAACACUUUUCAGCAAGGACACA